AUACGUAGGUGACAAGCGUUAUCCGGAUUUACUGGGUGUAAAGGGAGCGUAGACGGAAGGCCAAGUCUGAUGUGAAAGCCCGCGGCUCAACUGCGGGACUGCAUUGGAAACUGGUCAUCUGGAGUGCAGGAGGGGUAAGCGGAAUUCCUAGUGUAGCGGUGAAAUGCGUAGAUAUUAGGAGGAACACCGGUGGCGAAGGCGGCUUACUGGACUAUAACUGACGUUGAGGCUCGAAAGCGUGGGGAGCAAACAGGAUUAGAUACCCUGGUAGUCCACGCGGUAAACGAUGAUCACUAGGUGUCCGUGGGUAUGACCCAUGGGUGCCGCAGCCAACGCAAUAAGUGAUCCACCUGGGGAGUACGUUCGCAAGAAUGAAACUCAAAGGAAUUGGCGGGG
RNAcentral lists this ribosomal RNA (396 nucleotides) under uncultured bacterium. RNAcentral describes it as "partial 16S ribosomal RNA". It matches the Rfam family "Bacterial small subunit ribosomal RNA", at positions 523 to 918 of the family's 1533-position model. The record is from RNAcentral.